CAAGGGAUAGCUCAGUGGUAGAGUGUAUGCUUGGCAUUCAUGAGGUCCUGGGUUCAAUCCCCGGUGCCUUUG
This 72-nucleotide transfer RNA is filed under the name Camelus bactrianus (Bactrian camel). It matches the Rfam family "tRNA". Rfam says of the family: Transfer RNA (tRNA) molecules are approximately 80 nucleotides in length. Lineage: Eukaryota; Metazoa; Chordata; Mammalia; Artiodactyla; Camelidae. The record is from Rfam by way of RNAcentral. RNAcentral also lists the same sequence under 2 other names.